AUUUUUCGAGUCGUAAUUUUUACUAAAAAUAGUAAAAAUACACUAGUCAGACUUCUAGUCAUUUUAGUCGUGCAAUACAUUUUUUUUAAAUAAUGCUGUGAACCUAUGCCUACCCUGAUGUUGCUUUUUCUUUACUAUUUUAUAGUAACUUCUCUAUUUCUAAAACUGUACAUCUUUACUUAUUCAGACAAUGGUUCUCUGCUAUUGUCCCAAAGACUUAAUUACUAAAGUAUUACUCUACGAUGAUUUAUUUUUUGUGUUUUACUCUUAUUUCUAUUUUAGAGUUAUUUUAUGAUUUCGCGAUUUUCUUCUCAUAAAAUAUGAAUGUAAUAAUAAACUUAAAUCUGUGCGUUUAAAUUAUUUUUUAAAUGUCGGAAAAGUCAUGACAUUCGAUCAAUAUUGAGACUUAAAUAUAAAAUUGUGAUAGUGUUUUAAUUUCAAUAUCAUUUACUUAGUAAAUUAACAAUUUAACUGUGUUGAAUGAAACGAUUGGAUUAUAUUAAUGGAUGUAGGUUAUUCCUGCAUUGUCUGUCAGUAUUUUUGUAAUUAAUGUGCAUUAUAAAUUGUAUACACCGUUUUUAUAUUUGCCAAAAAUGUAUACAAAAUUGUUUGAGAGUAUAAAAAUAAAAAUAGUGAUCCAACGGUAUCUUUUUAGAUAGGUUAUACUUGUCUCAAGAAUAAUUUAGAAAAGUACAAUUAUAAAAAGAGUGAAAGCAGUUUUUGGCAAAUAUAAAGAAUUGGACAAGAUUAAAAAUAUAAAGUUACAAGUUUUCUAAAUGAAUAAUAAAAUAAAUACUAAUGAAAUAAAAACUAAAAAUAAAUCAUCUGUGGGAAACUUGUAGCUUUAUCUAAUAAAAGAAUAAUGUAUUAAAUGAAUGCACGUAGUUUAUUCAUGUUGAAUUUAUUCAAAAUCUAAAGUGUGUAUUACAUGAUAUAAUAUAAAUAGAUUUGUAAGUGUAAAGUAAAUAGCGGGUAUGCUAUGUUCACGAUAAUAUUGUGUUUAAGACGCGCUCAGUGGAAAACGUUUAUUUAUGAUGGAAUGUUGUU
Molecule: long non-coding RNA, 1047 nt
Organism: Ostrinia furnacalis (Asian corn borer)
Lineage: Eukaryota; Metazoa; Arthropoda; Insecta; Lepidoptera; Crambidae
Exons: 2
Source: RefSeq, a predicted model, not a curated record